CUCUGUUCAGCUCUUCAAGUGGUUGUGGCUUGGAGUGAUCUUGGUUGCUUCUGGAUUUGUCACACAGUAUUCAUCUUGGGAUAAUAGUUUGAAACUUGUUCAUCUGUGCAGAAAGCUACAACUAAUGAGACUUCGAAUUUGAAGUGCCUGUAAAAGAGAAUUUGGACUUUCAUUUUGAAAAUACAUCUGGAUUUUUCUUUGUUGGGAUCACAGUGGUAGAUGACAAAGCUGUACUCUUGAGAAAUAGGAGAGAACACUGUCAUUCAUAGCUUGUUAUACCACAAACACCGAACUCAACAGUUAUCUCUGGCAAGUCAGUGGACUUCAAAAGUAAAGCUCUGUUUUUAUCCAAAUGAUCCUCACUAA
This 366-nucleotide long non-coding RNA is filed under the name Anser brachyrhynchus (Pink-footed goose). RNAcentral describes it as "lncRNA (ENSABRG00000000957.1)". Lineage: Eukaryota; Metazoa; Chordata; Aves; Anseriformes; Anatidae. The record is from RNAcentral.